UACGUAGGGGGCGAGCGUUGUCCGGAAUGACUGGGCGUAAAGGGCGCGUAGACGGUUGUCUAAGUCUGGAGUGAAAGUCCUGCUUUCAAGGUGGGAAUUGCUUUGGAGACUGAAUGACUUGAGUGCGGAAGAGGUAAGUGGAAUUCCCAGUGUAGCGGUGAAAUGCGUAGAGAUUGGGAGGAACACCAGUGGCGAAGGCGACUUACUGGGCCGUAACUGACGUUGAUGCGCGAAAGCGUGGGGAGCGAACAGG
This 253-nucleotide ribosomal RNA is filed under the name uncultured bacterium. RNAcentral's name for it is "partial 16S ribosomal RNA". It matches the Rfam family "Bacterial small subunit ribosomal RNA", at positions 524 to 776 of the family's 1533-position model. The record is from RNAcentral.